CAUCCUGGGGCUGUAGUAGGUCCCAAGGGUUGGGCUGUUCGCCCAUUAAAGUGGUACGCGAGCUGGGUUCAGAACGUCGUGAGACAGUUCGGUCCCUAUCCGUCGCAGGCGUAGGAAAUUUGAGAAGGCCUGUCCUUAGUACGAGAGGACCGGGAUGGACGUACCUCUGGUGUACCAGUUGUCCUGCCAAGGGCAUGGCUGGGUAGCUAUGUACGGAAUGGAUAAGCGCUGAAAGCAUCUAAGCGCGAAGCCAACUUCAAGAUAAGA
This 267-nucleotide ribosomal RNA is filed under the name Clostridioides difficile. RNAcentral describes it as "partial 23S ribosomal RNA". It matches the Rfam family "Bacterial large subunit ribosomal RNA", at positions 2543 to 2809 of the family's 2925-position model. The record is from RNAcentral. Lineage: Bacteria; Bacillati; Bacillota; Clostridia; Peptostreptococcales; Peptostreptococcaceae.